This 253-nucleotide ribosomal RNA is filed under the name uncultured bacterium. RNAcentral describes it as "partial 16S ribosomal RNA". It matches the Rfam family "Bacterial small subunit ribosomal RNA", at positions 524 to 776 of the family's 1533-position model. The record is from RNAcentral.
UACGUAGGGGGCGAGCGUUGUCCGGAAUUACUGGGCGUAAAGGGUGCGUAGGCGGAUGGGAAAGUCAGAUGUGAAAUUCCAGUACUCAAUACUGGAGCUGCAUUUGAAACUCCCCUUCUGGAGGGUAGACGGAGAGAACGGAAUUCCAUGUGUAGCGGUGAAAUGCGUAGAUAUAUGGAAGAACACCUGUGGCGUAAGCGGUUCUCUAGUUUAUUUCUGACGCUGAGGCACGAGAGUGUGGGGAGCAAACAGG